RNAcentral lists this ribosomal RNA (449 nucleotides) under uncultured bacterium. Its description in RNAcentral is "partial 16S ribosomal RNA". It matches the Rfam family "Bacterial small subunit ribosomal RNA", at positions 28 to 523 of the family's 1533-position model. The record is from RNAcentral.
GAUGAACGCUGGCGGCAGGCUUAAUACAUGCAAGUCGAGCGGGCACUUCGGUGUCAGCGGCGCACGGGUGCGUAACGCGUGGGAACAUGCCCUUAGGUACGGAACAACACAGGGAAACUUGUGCUAAUACCGUAUAAUAUCUCCGGAUCAAAGAUUUAUCGCCUAAGGAUUGGCCCGCGUUAGAUUAGGUAGUUGGUGGGGUAAUGGCCUACCAAGCCGACGAUCUGUAGCUGGUCUGAGAGGAUGAUCAGCCACACUGGAACUGAGACACGGUCCAGACUCCUACGGGAGGCAGCAGUAAGGAAUAUUGGACAAUGGGCGAAAGCUUGAUCCAGCCAUGCCGCGUGAGUGAUGAAGGCCUUAGGGUUGUAAAGCUCUUUUAGAUGGGAAGAUAAUGACUGUACCAUCAGAAUAAGCCCCGGCUAAAUUCGUGCCAGCAGCCGCAGUAA